UUGCAGUGAUGUCUGAAUUUCUUCACCUGAACCUCAUUUGUGAAGAGCAAAUCCAUACAAGCUUUUUAACCCUGAGCAAU
Molecule: small nucleolar RNA, 80 nt
Organism: Elgaria multicarinata webbii
Lineage: Eukaryota; Metazoa; Chordata; Lepidosauria; Squamata; Anguidae
Source: RefSeq, a predicted model, not a curated record